CAGUGCGAGGAGAAUUACUGUAUGUGGUGUAAUUCAACCACAGAUAGGCUGUAAACAAAGCUGCGCCGCACGGCUGCGGGGACCCGGCCCAGGGCUGGGGCUCCUGCCCACCACCCCCCCAGUGCUGGGGGGCUCAGGUGAUGCAACCAGACCCCAAAGGUAACCAGCAGGACUCCUUUUCUUCUUACUUUUGAAGAGCCACACGCUUUCUUUUGUCUCCAAGAUCUGCCCCACCCCACGCAUUGCAAUUAAACAUAAAAAGGAGCAGCCUUUCUGUUCUAACUCAUUGUUCUUUUUCUGCAUCCAGGAACACUGGGCUUCUUUUUCUUUCUUCUGAAGGCUUCCCCUGUUAACUUUAUUUUUUAUAACAGAAUAAAGCAGCGUUUCUGGUGAGGAAGUUAAGAAGACAUAGGAAGGGGCAUCUGAAAGGGACUCAGCCAUGCUGACAAAUGGGGCAAAAUACAGGCAAGAAAGCUGGAACACCAAAAGGAAAGAAGACACACGACAUCACCUCAGAUAGCAGGAGUGCUGAAUUGAUUUUGCAAUACCGCAGUGCUAUAAUCACAGAAGAUAAGGUAACCAACUGGAAAACCACCACCUGAUAUUUUAAGAUCCCAUCCUAAGGGAGGAGGUUUGCCACAGCAUUUCCGUUCUCCACAAUUAAUUCAUGAACAGAGGGCUGACAAAUGGGGAAAGGAAAGCAGAGUAACUCCAGUGUUCACAGCAGCGAUUCGUCUCAUCUUCCACCAAAACUUGAAAUGUAAAACCCCCUUAGCUGCUCUGGCAGGUGAUCUUCACAGGUAAAUCUUCAUCCACAGCCUUUGAAUCACGGAUCUACAGGACAGCAGCCUGACUGUGCUGAUGGUUGCCAGCACAUGCUCUCUGGACUUUGCAGAAGCACAAAUGAUACAGACCAAUACAGCCGUGCAGGAGGGGACCUGACAGCUCAUCGCCCUCUGUAAGAGUUGGGGUACAUUUUGUGCAGCUGGAAGGCACUACAUGCAGGCAGUGAGCUGCAGCAAUUCAGGGAUUCAUAACAACACGAGAUAGGGAAAGAAAAGAGUGCUCCUGUGUUCCUGUACACUCCCAGUGAUGGCUGUGGUUGGAGCACCAACGCUUGGGACAAGCAGCAGAGGCGAGGGGUGUUUGACAGCCCCUGGGAUGGAAGCACAGCACUGCCAUGGAGGGCUGUCACCACCAGCAGAACUGCAGGCAGGGCAACGCCAUCACACUGACUGAGCCCAACUCUGCUUUGAAUUAAAGCAUCUAUUUUAAUACA
This is a long non-coding RNA of Lagopus leucura (white-tailed ptarmigan), 1279 nucleotides long. RefSeq lists it as uncharacterized. NCBI's taxonomy places the organism in Eukaryota, Metazoa, Chordata, Aves, Galliformes, Phasianidae. The record is from RefSeq and is a predicted model, not a curated record. The transcript has 2 exons.